UCCCGGUUGGCCCGGGCAGUCUCGCAUGAAAAAUACAACAUACGAUAAGGGUUGCGCUCGUUGCGGGACUUAACCCAACAUCUCACGACACGAGCUGACGACGGCCAUGCAGCACCUGUCACCUGGCUCCCGAGGGCACUCCCCUGUUUCCAGGGGAUUCCAGGGAUGUCAAGCCUCGGUAAGGUUCUACGCGUAGCUUCAUAUUAAACCACAUGAUCCUCUGCUUGUGCGGGUCCCCGUCAAUUCCUUUGAGUUUUAGCCUUGCGGCCGUACUUCCCAGGCGGCAUACUUAUCGCGUUAGCUUCGUCGCACAGGGGGUCGAUACCCCAUACGACUAGUAUGCAUCGUUUACGGCGUGGACUAC
RNAcentral lists this unclassified non-coding RNA (364 nucleotides) under uncultured bacterium. RNAcentral describes it as "contains 16S-23S intergenic spacer region". The record is from RNAcentral.